Molecule: ribosomal RNA, 497 nt
Filed under: uncultured bacterium
Lineage: Bacteria
Description: partial 16S ribosomal RNA
Rfam family: Bacterial small subunit ribosomal RNA
Source: RNAcentral
GACGAACGCUGGCGGCGUGCCUAAUACAUGCAAGUAGAACGCUGAAGAGAGGAGCUUGCUCUUCUUGGAUGAGUUGCGAACGGGUGAGUAACGCGUAGGCAACCUGCCUUGUAGCGGGGGAUAACUAUUGGAAACGAUAGCUAAUACCGCAUAACAAUGGAUGACACAUGUCAUUUAUUUGAAAGGUGCAAUUGCUCCACUACAAGAUGGACCUGCGUUGUAUUAGCUAGUAGGUGAGGUAAUGGCUCACCUAGGCGACGAUACAUAGCCGACCUGAGAGGGUGAUCGGCCACACUGGGACUGAGACACGGCCCAGAAUCCUACGGGAGGCAGCAGUAGGGAAUCUUCGGCAAUGGGGGCAAACCUGACCGAGCAACGCCGCGUGAGUGAAGAAGGUUUUCGGAUCGUAAAGCUCUGUUGUAAGUCAAGAACGGGUGUGAGAGUGGAAAGUUCACACUGUGACGGUAGCUUACCAGAAAGAGACGGCUAACUACGUG